This 274-nucleotide ribosomal RNA is filed under the name uncultured bacterium. RNAcentral's name for it is "partial 16S ribosomal RNA". It matches the Rfam family "Bacterial small subunit ribosomal RNA", at positions 523 to 796 of the family's 1533-position model. The record is from RNAcentral.
AUACGGAGGGUGCAAGCGUUGUUCGGAAUCACUGGGCGUAAAGGGCGCGCAGGCGGUUUGGUAAGUCAGAUGUGAAAGCCCAUGGCUCAACCAUGGAAGUGCAUUUGAAACUGUCAGACUUGAGUACUGGAGGGGAAAGUGGAAUUCCCGGUGUAGAGGUGAAAUUCGUAGAUAUCGGGAGGAAUACCGGUGGCGAAGGCGACUUUCUGGCUAGAUACUGACGCUGAGGCGCGAAAGCGUGGGGAGCAAACAGAAUUAGAAACCCCAGUAGUCC